AUGAAAAAGUCGAACAAAGAAGAAGAUGAAAAAACUGAAGCAGAUCCAACGAAAUCCGCUCGGCUCAGACGAACCUUCGACGAAUCCGCCGGCAGCCACACACCUCGCGCAACACCACUGCUUUGCAACUACGAACUAACCCUUCAACCUUCGCUCUCUCGGAUGCAUCACGCUCUCCGUCGCAACACAUUUGCGACCAGCUUUCCGAUCACCGCCCUCAGAUAG
Non-coding RNA from Vicia faba (fava bean), 225 nucleotides. The record is from the annotation of a GenBank genome assembly. NCBI's taxonomy places the organism in Eukaryota, Viridiplantae, Streptophyta, Magnoliopsida, Fabales, Fabaceae.